Molecule: ribosomal RNA, 118 nt
Filed under: Neogobius melanostomus (round goby)
Lineage: Eukaryota; Metazoa; Chordata; Actinopteri; Gobiiformes; Gobiidae
Source: RNAcentral
UUAAACGCCAUACCACCCUGAGCACGCCGAUCUCGUCUGAUCUCGGAAGCUAAGCAGGGUCGGGCCUGGUUAGUACUUGAAUGGGAGACCGCCUGGGAAUAACCAGGUGCGCAGUAAC